AAGUCGUAACAAGGUUUCCGUAGGUGAACCUGCGGAAGGAUCAUUAACGAAUUGUGAGAUUGGUGGAGUGGGUAAGAGGGUAACCUCUGCUCCUCCUCCUUGACACAUUUACGCGUGUUGUGUAUGACUGAGUUUACCUAUCUCUUUAACGAGACAACUUUUAACAAUGGAUCUCUUGGCUCUU
Molecule: unclassified non-coding RNA, 184 nt
Filed under: fungal sp.
Lineage: Eukaryota; Fungi
Description: partial internal transcribed spacer region
Rfam family: Eukaryotic small subunit ribosomal RNA (bases 1-46)
Source: RNAcentral